Molecule: long non-coding RNA, 2327 nt
Filed under: Piliocolobus tephrosceles (Ugandan red Colobus)
Lineage: Eukaryota; Metazoa; Chordata; Mammalia; Primates; Cercopithecidae
Description: lncRNA (ENSPTEG00000008098.1)
Source: RNAcentral
CGUCAGAUGGGAGUAUGAGGAGUGAAAAAAAUUAUAAAACUGAUAACAAAAGAGAUAGUGAGAAAUGUAAAGAAGAAGUGGUAAAUAAAGUGAUUUAUAAAGAUAAUAUAUUAGAAGAACAAAAUAUAAAACAUGUUAAUUUAAAUAUAAAUAAUGGAAAAAAAAAAAAUAUAUAUACAAAGUUUGUCGAUACAACGUCAUUAAAUAAGAUCGACAUGAGUAAUACUACGAAAAAUGUUAAUAGUGUUGACAGUGGUGAUAAUAUAAAAGAGUAUAUGUACAAGUUAAAAAUUAAUUUACUAAUACAAUUAUAUGUAAAUUAUAUUUUAUAUUUAGAAGAUAUGAAUAUAAAAGACAAUGUAUGGAAAGAGUAUUUGAAUUUUUUUAUGACAGAUAAAUAUGAAAAAUUUUAUCAAAAUAUAUUAAAUGUAAUUAAUAAGAAAAUAUUUCAUUUUUCUUGUAUCGAUAUAAUUAAUUUUUUAUAUAUAUUAAAAAGAACGAGAAUUAUAUUAUGUAUUAACGAUUUAAGUUGUUUAGUUCAUAAUUUAAUUUUAGGGAAUUUAAAAUAUUUAGAAAAUGAUAACUUAGUUAAGGUUUCAUAUAUAUAUUUAAAUAACGAUAAUAAAAAGAAGAGUUUUAAUAGUGCUAGUAGUAGUAGUAUCAGUAGUAGUAUCAGUAAUAGUAUCAGUAGUAGUGGUAGUAAUAAACAGUUUUUAGAAACAUUUAUUAAUUAUAUGGAAAACAAAAUAAAAGAUAUGAACAAUAACGAUUUUAUUAAAUUAUUAGUUUAUAUAAAUAAUAAUAAUUAUAAACAUAUCCAAUUUUAUAAAAAUAUUAAAAUAGAAAUAUAUAAAAGGUAUUAUAAUUUUACAGAAGAACAACUGAUAAAAUUAUUUUAUUUAUAUUCUCAAAAUUUGAAUGCUGCUGAUGAUUUUUUAAUGCAGCAAUUUAUGGAUUCAAUUAUAGAUAUAUUUGAUGUAGUAGAUGAUACAUCUAAAAAUAUAGAUACUAGGAUAAACAAUAAAAAUGAUUUAACAACUACUUUAAACAAAAAUUCUACUGAAUGUAAUAAAAAAGAAAAACACAAAUUAACAGUUCCAAUUUCUGUUUUACUUAAUUUAAUAUGGGCAAAUGCGAAACAUUUCAAAAAUAAUAAUUUUGUUUUAAAAAAAUGUGAACAAACAAUAUUAAAAAAUAUCCACAAUUUCAGUUGUAAUACUAUAAGUAUGUUAAUAUGGGCAUAUAGUACAGUUGAAAAUAAAAAUAAAAAUUUAUAUUUUGAUAUUAAGUUGUAUUUUAAGUUAAAAGAAAUAUUUUUUAAAGUAUAUAAAGAUAUGACACCUAAACAGUUGACAAAUAGUAUAUUAGGGUUAUCAACAACUAUUGGGAGAAUUAUAAAUGAUGAAGGGUAUAUUGAUUUGGAUUUGCAUAUACAGAUUGAAGAUUACGUGUUAGGUAGUGGUAGUGGUAGUGGUGGUGGUAAUAAGGGCAGCGGUGGUGGUAGCGAAAAAAAACGUAGUUUUAACUUUUUGUAUAUGUUCACUGGGGAAGAUCUAUCAAAUCUGUGUUUUUCAUAUGCACUAGUUCGAAGUGGAAGUAAAGCAUUCCAUACUUUAAUACAAUCAGCUUUAUUAAAUAAAAUAACUUUUUUAUCACCUCAAGAUAUAACAAAAAUAGCUUAUACAUAUGGGACUUUAUAUUCUUAUGCAUCUUAUACAUUAUUAUGUGCAUUACAAUAUGAAAUAAUACAAAGAAUACAUCAAUUUAAUAUGAAUGAAAUAUGUGACAUAUUAUGGUGUUAUUGUAUAAACAAAUUUUAUGAUGCUAAUUUUUGGAAAUGUUUAUUACAUGUAAUAGAUUUUGACAAAAUAUAUAACCCUCGUUAUUGUCUAUUAUAUGCAUCUUUAUCUUUUAUAAAUUUGAUUGAUCCAUCUAUUUUAGAUUCUUAUAAUGUGCUUAAAAUUUUUAAUUUGUUAAGGGAUUUUUAUUGGGAGGUUCAAAAUUUUACGUACCCACAUAAAUUUGCGAAUGAUGUUUUAGAUACAAUAGACCGAGAAAAUGAUCUAAUUUUGUCAAACAAAAAAAAUGGGUUGUCAAACCAAAAAAAAGAAGACUAUUUUUGUGUUAAUACCCAUCAAUCGAGUAUGAAAACAGAGACAGGUAGUAGUACACCCGAAACAAGUAAUAAAAAAAUGUUUUUUAAAAAUAUACAAAAGGUAUUAGAUUAUGAAGGUUUUUUAAUUGAUAUUUAUUUUGAAUACCAAAAUCAACAAUAUGCUGUUUUUUUAUCUACGCCACUUAAUACAACUAAUAAUGGAUAUCCAUUA